This 508-nucleotide ribosomal RNA is filed under the name uncultured bacterium. RNAcentral describes it as "partial 16S ribosomal RNA". It matches the Rfam family "Bacterial small subunit ribosomal RNA", at positions 28 to 507 of the family's 1533-position model. The record is from RNAcentral.
GACGAACGCUGGCGGCGUGCCUAAUACAUGCAAGUCGAACGCUUCUUUCCUCCCGAGUGCUUGCACUCCAUUGGAAAGAGGAGUGGCGGACGGGUGAGUAACACGUGUGUAACCUACCCAUCAGAGGGGGAUGACACUUGGAAACAGGUGCUAAUACCGCAUAGCAGUUUAUGCCGCAUGGCAUAAGAGUGAAAGGCGCUUUCGGGUGUCGCUGAUGGAUGGACCCGCGGUGCAUUAGCUAGUUGGUGAGGUAACGGCUCACCAAGGCCACGAUGCAUAGCCGACCUGAGAGAGUGAUCGGCCACACUGGGACUGAGACGCGGCCCAGACUCCUACGGGAGGCAGCAGUAGGGAAUCGUCGGCAAUGGACGAAAGUCUGAGCGAGCAACGCCGCGUGAGUGAAGAAGGUUUUCGGAGCGUAAAACUCGGUUGUUAGAGAAGAACAAGGACGUUAGUAACUGAACGUCCCCUGACGGUAUCUAACCAGAAAGCCACGGCUAACUACGUG